This 400-nucleotide ribosomal RNA is filed under the name uncultured bacterium. Its description in RNAcentral is "bacterial SSU rRNA". It matches the Rfam family "Bacterial small subunit ribosomal RNA", at positions 993 to 1391 of the family's 1533-position model. The record is from RNAcentral.
GAAUCUUAUCGAAAGAUAGGACUGUCCUUCGGGGAAUUUUGAUACAGGUGCUGCAUGGCUGUCGUCAGCUCGUGUUGAGAGAUGUUGGGUUAAGUCCCGCAACGAGCGCAACCCCUGUCCUUAGUUGCCACCAGUUCGGCUGGGCACUCUAAGGAGACUGCCGGGGUCAACCCGGAGGAAGGUGGGGAUGACGUCAAGUCCUCAUGGCCCUUAUGUCUGGGGCUACACACGUGCUACAAUGGUCGGUACAAAGCGCUGCGAACCCGCGAGGGGGAGCCAAUCGCAAAAAGCCGGCCUCAGUACGGAUUGCAGUCUGCAACUCGACUGCAUGAAGGCGGAAUCGCUAGUAAUCGCUGAUCAGCAGGCAGCGGUGAAUACGUUCCCGGGCCUUGUACACACC